UACGGAGGAUCCGAGCGUUAUCCGGAUUUAUUGGGUUUAAAGGGUGCGCAGGCGGGAGAUUAAGUCGGCGGUGAAAUUUUGCAGCUCAACUGUAAAAGUGCCAUCGAUACUGGUUUUCUUGAGUGUGGAUGAAGUAGGCGGAAUUUGUGGUGUAGCGGUGAAAUGCAUAGAUAUCACGAGGAACUCCGAUUGCGCAGGCAGCAUACUAGGCCAUAACUGACGCUCAGGCACGAAGGCGUGGGGAUCAAACAGGAUUAGA
This 259-nucleotide ribosomal RNA is filed under the name uncultured prokaryote. RNAcentral's name for it is "partial 16S ribosomal RNA". It matches the Rfam family "Bacterial small subunit ribosomal RNA", at positions 524 to 782 of the family's 1533-position model. The record is from RNAcentral.